CCUACGGGUGGCAGCAGUGAGGAAUAUUGGUCAAUGGGCGCGAGCCUGAACCAGCCAAGUAGCGUGAAGGAUGACUGCCCUACGGUUUGUAAACUUCUUUUAUAAAGGAAUAAAGUGAGGCACGUGUGCCUUUUUGUAUGUACUUUAUGAAUAAGGAUCGGCUAACUCCGUGCCAGCAGCCGCGGUAAUACGGAGGAUCCGAGCGUUAUCCGGAUUUAUUGGGUUUAAAGGGAGCGUAGGUGGGUUGUUAAGUCAGUUGUGAAAGUUUGGGGCUCAACCGUAAAAUUGCAAUUGAUACUGGCAGCCUUGAGUUCAGUUGAGGUAGGCGGAAUGCGUGGUGUAGCGGUGAAAUGCAUAGAUAUCACGAAGAACUCCGAUUGCGAAGGCAGCUUACUAAACUGCCACUGACAUUGAUGCUCGAAAGUGUGGGUAUCAAACAGGAUUAGAUACCCUAGUAGUC
RNAcentral lists this ribosomal RNA (460 nucleotides) under uncultured bacterium. RNAcentral describes it as "partial 16S ribosomal RNA". It matches the Rfam family "Bacterial small subunit ribosomal RNA", at positions 338 to 795 of the family's 1533-position model. The record is from RNAcentral.